AGUGAACGCUGGCGGUAGGCCUAACACAUGCAAGUCGAACGGCAGCACAGUAAGAGCUUGCUCUUACGGGUGGCGAGUGGCGGACGGGUGAGGAAUACAUCGGAAUCUACUUUUUCGUGGGGGAUAACGUAGGGAAACUUACGCUAAUACCGCAUACGACCUACGGGCGAAAGCAGGGGAUCUUCGGACCUUGCGCGAUUGAAUGAGCCGAUGUCGGAUUAGCUAGUUGGCGGGGUAAAGGCCCACCAAGGCGACGAUCCGUAGCUGGUCUGAGAGGAUGAUCAGCCACACUGGAACUGAGACACGGUCCAGACUCCUACGGGAGGCAGCAGUGGGGAAUAUUGGACAAUGGGCGCAAGCCUGAUCCAGCCAUACCGCGUGGGUGAAGAAGGCCUCCGGGUUGUAAAGCCCUUUUGUUGGGAAAGAAAAGCAGCAGGUUAAUACCCCGCUGUUCUGACGGUACCCAAAGAAUAAGCACCGGCUAACUUCGUG
RNAcentral lists this ribosomal RNA (492 nucleotides) under uncultured bacterium. Its description in RNAcentral is "partial 16S ribosomal RNA". It matches the Rfam family "Bacterial small subunit ribosomal RNA", at positions 29 to 507 of the family's 1533-position model. The record is from RNAcentral.